This 702-nucleotide long non-coding RNA is filed under the name Crocodylus porosus (Australian saltwater crocodile). RNAcentral's name for it is "lncRNA (ENSCPRG00005018690.1)". The record is from RNAcentral. Lineage: Eukaryota; Metazoa; Chordata; Crocodylia; Crocodylidae.
AUGGAAAGAGGCCCUGAUCAACAGCAACGUGGACAGGAGAAGACUAUCAACCGCAAUGUUGAGCGGGGCAGUUCUGCCCUUGAUUCCCCCAAGAUGUCUCAGUCUGGUCCAAAAGUGGAAAAAUCCUCUAGCCAACAGCAGGAGGAAGAUAAGCUGGACAAAAGCCCUUUGGCUCCUGCAUCAUCCACCACCACCACCACCACCACCGCUGGAAGAACUACCACCAAAAGAUUUCCCCUAAAGCAGAAAAUACGCGCAGUCAACAUAAAGGCCCUGCAGCUGCCAAAUAUUAACAACCCGUCUCAAGGCAUAAAAGACCUGGAAAUCCGACUGCUGCAAGUCGAGUGCGAGGAGCUCAAAACCCGGCUGGGCUGCCUAAGGGAAGGGCUAGUGGGUCAAAAACCAAGCGAUAUGGAGGAUUUAUUGAAACAGUCUCAGAAGGAGCUGUUGUGGCUUCAGAGGCAGCUGUCCUUCAUCUCAACAGGCGGCCCUGCGUGUGUAUUGUCAACUAGCAAGCUUGGAAAUGAUUUACCAUGUUUGCAGCCUUCAGUGCCACAGAAAACAUUUGAUGAGAUUCGAUUUUUAGAGGAGAAAACCCAGUUUUUUCAAUCUAAUGUCACCACACUAAGUCAAGAAAACCAUCUGUGGAGAUUUUUGAACGAGACAGCUGUGAUGCGAACUGAAUAUAAAGAUUUGAAGGAG